RNAcentral lists this ribosomal RNA (484 nucleotides) under uncultured bacterium. RNAcentral's name for it is "partial 16S ribosomal RNA". It matches the Rfam family "Bacterial small subunit ribosomal RNA", at positions 30 to 507 of the family's 1533-position model. The record is from RNAcentral.
AUUGAACGCUGGCGGCAGGCCUAACACAUGCAAGUCGAGCGGAUGAAGGGAGCUUGCUCCUGGAUUCAGCGGCGGACGGGUGAGUAAUGCCUAGGAAUCUGCCUGGUAGUGGGGUAUAACGUCCGGAAACGGGCGCUAAUACCGCAUACGUCCUGAGGGAGAAAGUGGGGGAUCUUCGGACCUCACGCUCUCAGAUGAGCCUAGGUCGGAUUAGCUAGUUGGUGGGGUAAAGGCCUACCAAGGCGACGAUCCGUAACUGGUCUGAGAGGAUGAUCAGUCACACUGGAACUGAGACACGGUCCAGACUCCUACGGGAGGCAGCAGUGGGGAAUAUUGGACAAUGGGCGCAAGCCUGAUCCAGCCAUGCCGCGUGUGUGAAGAAGGUCUUCGGAUUGUAAAGCACUUUAAGUUGGGAGGAAGGGCAGUAAGUUAAUACCUUGCUGUUUUGACGUUACCAACAGAAUAAGCACCGGCUAACUUCGUG